GAUGAACGCUGGCGGCGUGCCUAAUACAUGCAAGUCGAGCGAACGGACGAUGCUCUUGCGUUUCUGAUGUUAGCGGCAGACGGGUGAGUAACACGUGGAUAACCUACCUAUAUGACUGGUAUAACUUCGAGAAACCGGAGCUAAUCCCGGAUAAUAUUUUGAACCGCAUGGUUCAAAGGUGAAAGACGGUCUUGCUGUCACUUAUAGAUGCAUCCGCGCUGUAUUAGCUAGUUGGUAAGGUAACGGCUUACCACGGCAACGAUGCAUAGCCGACGUGAGAGGGGGAUAGGCGGCCCGGGAGCUGGGCCAGGGACCAGGCUACUGCGGGAGGGAGCAGUAGGGAAUCGUACGCAACAGGCGAGAACCUGACGGAGCGACGGGGCGUGAGUUACGGAGGUGCUGGGAUCGUGAAGCUCUGCUAUGAGGGGAGAACAGAUGUGUACGGAGCUGUGCACAGCGUGACGGUAACGAAUCAAAAAGCCCCGGCUAACUACGUG
RNAcentral lists this ribosomal RNA (497 nucleotides) under uncultured bacterium. RNAcentral describes it as "partial 16S ribosomal RNA". It matches the Rfam family "Bacterial small subunit ribosomal RNA", at positions 28 to 507 of the family's 1533-position model. The record is from RNAcentral.